Molecule: unclassified non-coding RNA, 321 nt
Filed under: Hevea brasiliensis (rubber tree)
Lineage: Eukaryota; Viridiplantae; Streptophyta; Magnoliopsida; Malpighiales; Euphorbiaceae
Source: RNAcentral
GAGAGAGAGAGAGAGAGAGAACAGAAACUUUUAUAAAGAAAGAAAAGGAGGGGGUGGAGGGCUUGCAAGAGAAUGAACAGAGAAGAAGAUUUUAGGUUCUUAAAUAAGAUAUUGCAGAGAACUGUAUUCAGACACCUGAAAGUAAAAAAAAAUUAAAAAUUUUUGUUUAUUUAUUUCACACAAAGAACAGAUAUACUCAUCUAAAAUUUGAAAGCUACCAAGACCCACGUUAUCUUUAAUGUGCAGGCGAAAGGAGGAUAAGUCUCACAACCCUGUAAAUCCUAAUAAAACCCAUUCAUUCUCUGACUUGAAUGAGCAGAA